UACAGAGGUGGCAAGCGUUGCUCGGUAUCACUGGGCUUAAAGGGCGCGUAGGCGGUGCGGUGCGGUUUCGGUGAAAUCCCUCGGCCUAACCGAGGAACAGCCGGGGCUACGGCCGCGCUAGACGGCAUCAGGGGACAGUGGAACUCCCGGUGGAGCGGUGAAAUGCGUAGAUAUCGGGAGGAACGCCGGUGGCGAAAGCGACUGUCUGGGGUGCCUGUGACGCUGAGGCGCGAAAGCCAGGGGAUCAAACGGG
This 253-nucleotide ribosomal RNA is filed under the name uncultured bacterium. Its description in RNAcentral is "partial 16S ribosomal RNA". It matches the Rfam family "Bacterial small subunit ribosomal RNA", at positions 524 to 776 of the family's 1533-position model. The record is from RNAcentral.